This 301-nucleotide ribosomal RNA is filed under the name uncultured bacterium. RNAcentral describes it as "partial 16S ribosomal RNA". It matches the Rfam family "Bacterial small subunit ribosomal RNA", at positions 509 to 809 of the family's 1533-position model. The record is from RNAcentral.
CAGCAGCCGCGGGAACACGUAGGUGGCAAGCGUUGUCCGGAAUUAUUGGGCGUAAAGGGCUCGCAGGCGGUUUCUUAAGUCUGAUGUGAAAGCCCCCGGCUCAACCGGGGAGGGUCAUUGGAAACUGGGAAACUUGAGUGCAGAAGAGGAGAGUGGAAUUCCACGUGUAGCGGUGAAAUGCGUAGAGAUGUGGAGGAACACCAGUGGCGAAGGCGACUCUCUGGUCUGUAACUGACGCUGAGGAGCGAAAGCGUGGGGAGCGAACAGGAUUAGAGACCCGAGUAGUCCCUGUCUCUUAUAU